Molecule: long non-coding RNA, 7409 nt
Organism: Salvelinus fontinalis (brook trout)
Lineage: Eukaryota; Metazoa; Chordata; Actinopteri; Salmoniformes; Salmonidae
Exons: 2
Source: RefSeq, a predicted model, not a curated record
CCGUGUGGAAACUGACUACCGUACACAACAUGCUAGCUGAUAGCUAGUUGAUUUUGUCCGGCUAGUGAAGGUGGUGGGGGUGUCUGAUACAUAAUAUCAUGCUGAUGAUCAACACAAGUUAAAAGUUACUUCAACAAGUUAAAAGCACCACCAACACAAUAUCUUUCAGUCAAUGGAGUACGGACCGAGUAGUUCCAGCACUGUUACUGCUCAGAGGACCUGAGCCCUAGGACCAUGCCUCAGGACUAGCUGGCCUGAUGACUCCUGGCUGUCCCCAGUCCACCUGGUCAUGCUGCUGCUCUAGUUUUAACUGUUCUGCCUGCGGCUAUGGAACCCUGACCUGUUCACCGGACGUGCUACCUUGUUCUGGUCUCUCUCUCGCUCUCUCGCUCUCUCGCUCUCUCUCACACUGGAAUGUGAGAUGUAAUGUACACCUUGAUUAGGGUAAUAAAAAUAUAAUUUCUAUAUAGCCUACACUUUCUUGUUCUGAACUUAACGGGUGGGGCAGGUGUGGCUUCGUAACGUUGAUCGCAAGAGCCGCUACUGAUUUGAUGGCUCCAGCAACAUUCCACCCCCGAAACUGCCUAAACAUCCGCUAUGCUCAGUUCUGCUAUCGCCGACUAACACUUGAUCUGAUUGAAUCUAGGCCUUGUGUGCAGUUAAGAACCAUUUAUAUUUAGUAACUUGUGUGCAAUUAGUGCUUUCAGAAAGUAUUCAGACCCUUGAUUGGAGUCCACCUGUGGUAAAUUCAAAUGAUUGGACUUUAUUUUUAAAGGCACACACCUGUCUAUAUAAGGUCCCACAGUUGACAAGCCAUGAGGUCAAAGGAAUUGUUUGUAGAGCUCUGAGGCAGGAUUGUGUCGGCACAGAUCUCGGGAAGGGUACCAACAGCAAACAAAUCCGCAGAAUUGAAGGUCCCCAAGAACACAGUGACCUUAAAUUCUUAAAUGGAAGAAGUUUAGAACCACCAAGACGCUUCCUAGAGCUGGCCGCUCGGCCAAACUGAGCAAUCGGGGGAGAAGGGCCUUGGUCAGGGAGAUGCCAAGAACCUGAUGGUCACUCUGACAGAGCUCCGCUGUGGAGAUGGGAGAAUCUUCCAGGAGGACAAGCAUCUCUGCAGCACUCCACCAAUCAGGACUUUAUGGUAGAGUGGACAGACAGAAGCCACUACUCAGUAAAAGGCAUGACAGCCUGCUUAGAGUUUGCCAAAAGCCACCUAAAGGACUCUCAGACCAUGAGAAACAAGAUUCUCUAGUCUGAUGAAACCAAGAUUCAACUCUUUGGCCUGAAUGCCAAGCCAACUCUUUGGCCUGAAUGCCAAGCGUCACAUCUGGAAACCUGGUACCAUCCCUAGAGUGAAGCAUGGUGGUGGCAGCAUCAUGCGGUGGGGAUGUUUUUCAGCGGCAGGGACUGUGAGACUAGUCAGGAUCGAGGGAAUGAUGAAUGGAGCAAAGUACAGAGAGAUCCUUGAUGAAAACCUGCUCCAGAGCGCCCAGGACAGACUGGGGCGAAGGUUAACCUUCUAACAGGACAAUGACCCUAAGCACACAGCUAAGAGAACGCAAGAGUGGCUUUGGGACAAGUCUCAAUGUCCUUGAGUGGCCCAGCAAGAGCCCGAACUUGAACCAGAUCGAACAUCUCUGGAGAGACCUGAAAAUAGCUGUGCAGCGACACUCCCCAUCCAACCUGACCGAGCUUGAGAGGAUCUGCAGAGAAGAAUGGGAGAAACUCCCCAAAUACAGGUGUGCCAAGCUUGUAGCGUCAUACCCAAGAAGACUCGAGGCUGUAAUCACUGCCAAAGGUGCUGCAAAGGUUCUAAAUACUACUGAGUAAAGGUUCUGAAUACUUAUGUAAAUGUGAUUUAAAAAAGCAUUUUUAUAAAAACCUAUUUUUAGUUUGUCAUGGGGUAUUGUGAGUAGAUUGAGGGGAGAGAAUUUAAAAAAAAUCCAUUUUAGAAUAAGGCUGUAACAUAACAAAAUGUGGAAAAAGUCAAGGGGUCUGAAUACACAAUCCUUGUAUAGUCUAUUAUGUACGAUUUUCAUGUUUGAUUCUAUUUCCAUUUAUCUCUUUACUCCUAGAAACCACACACGAAGCCUUUUCCCUGACAUUCUUUUCUGCUUUCUGGACAUCCCCGUGGUCCUUAAAAAUGAAAUAUCAUAUCAUGUGCUCUUUUUUUUUUUUUAAGAGACUUAUGCGAGUAACCUGCUGGGGGGUCUUUGACCCCCUCAAUAAUGUACCAUGAAUUUGAUUGAUUCUAAAUUCUUUCCCCACUGUAAAGCGCCAGGCAGCUACUGGCUUUCUUUACACUGCACAGUGCUACUAAAUUCCUCAUUUUAUGUUUGCACCCCCAAUUAUGCUUUGUUUGGGCCCAGUCCUGCGGCAGGAGUUCCUCUUGUGUGAAAGGAAAAAAAGUUGAGCAAGGCUUAUAAGGAGAGCAGAUGGGCAAUAUGUCCUCUAGACCUUUUGUGACGGUAAUGACAAAUGGUAUGCCAACAAUGUCCUCAUCACCUCAUUUUGAUAAAGUAUUCUGUAACGAGUAUAAUAAUAUUGUAUUGUGGCUCGUCGAGGAAUGCUCUACUCCGUUCCCUUAACUCCACCUCAACAGUAUAUAAGUAUCGAUAACUGGUCACGCAAUUUGCUAGCAACAACAUUGAGUCAACACUCGCCAUCAAUCGAUACUUGUAAAAUGUCAAUUCUGAAAAUGCUUACCUGUACAUCUGUGGUCCUUCUGCGUGGUGCUGAAAUUCACGCUUUUAAAUAAAAACUAAUAUUGAAUACAACCGACUUUUUCCCCCCCUCAGCUCCGCGUGAAUGCGGUAUUUCUGCUUAAGUAACGUAAACUCACCCCAUUCCGUACAAAUAUGCGUGACUGCGACAUUCAAACGAGGCUACAAAGAAAACUAAUGCGACUGUGUUGACUUAAAUCGGGGGUGUGAACUAGGUUUCUAUUCAAGCUUUGAUCGACAUGGUAAUGGCUCUAUAGUAUUGGAGAAAAGUUGAAAAAAACUGACCCUCCGUUACAUCUUGACGUGUCAUGUCGUAACGUACAGCACGCAUAAAGCAACUAUUUCUGUCUUACAAUCUCUCUCCACGAGGUGUAGCACUUCUCUCAUCGUUUAAAAACAAAUGGACAGUGACGGGGGUAAGGGGGGAUACCCAGUCAUUUUUUUCGUCAUCAUUGCAUGCGAUCAUCAUUCUCAAAGCCGCUGUAUACUUCUAAGAUCACUUUAGCACCGCCCUAAAAACCCGAUUUCAAAUUCGACACAAAGCUUCAAAUAGGUAUGUAAUGACACAUUAUAUAAACUCUUUAUAGUGUUUUAUUUACAUUUUAGAGGCGAUAAGGUGAUAAGUUGGACAGAUUGAGUGAAAAAAGCAAUUUUCCCACACGACAUCUGUCCUUCUCACUAUAACGCAUUAGUUUCGCUUCCCCACCCGCCAUUUUUAAAAAGACCUGAAGGAGCUCAUUGCCUUCUUGAAUUAUGCAGAAACGGGCAGCGUGAAGGUCUCGGCAUGAAUUCUGUUGGAAAGGGGAGAAAUUGUGCUUUACAAUGGUAUUGGAAUUACAGUUGAUCUGGAAGUAUUACGUUUUGGGGGCACUAAAAUAAGGUAAACUGUACGGACCAAGGCGAUGUACGAGUUUACGUGAGUUUACGUUAGUAUGUCAAGGCUGCUACCUCUCCAGUUGAGCUACACAAAUAAGGAAAGAAUUGGUUGUAUUUGAUAAAAGUUUUUAUUAAGAGUAUAACUUUCAGCACCCCGCGUAAGGACCACAGUCUUACAGGACAAAUAUAGGUACAGGUAAGCAUUUUCAGAAAUAAUAUUUGACUGACGGUAGCUCAAUGUUUUUGCUAGCAAAUCGGGCAACCAGUUAUCAAUACUGAACUCCGCCUCGAUAUAAGAGAACAGAGUUGAGCAUUCCUCAGCUAUUUUGUGGCCUAUGUAUACUGUAGUUGCCUUGUUUUGUGGAAUCUUCAAUCGUGCCAGAUAGGUUAGGCCUUCUGUUUCAGCACGAGUAGUCGUCAUGUUGUUGUCUUAAUUUGUCAUGUCCAAUUAGACAAUUGAAGUAUACUCACUAGCCAGUUUAUUAGGUACACCAACCCAUUCAUGAAAAUGGAUUGCUCCUACACGUAGGCACGUAGCCUUGGCUUGUUAUAUAAAGCAGACCGAUAGGUGUCAAGGCAUUCCGUUACUGUUUGGUUGAACGUUAGAAUGGGUAAAACGAGUGACCUAUGCGACUUUGAACGUGUUAUGAUCGCUGAUGCUAGGUGCGCCGGAUCCAGUAUCUCAAAAACAGCCACCCUCCUGAGCUUUUCACGUACGACAGUGUCUAGGGUUUACAAAGAAAGUGUGACAAUCAAAAAAACUACCAGUCAAGUGGCAGUCCUGUGGGCGAAAACAGCUUGUUGAUGAGAGAGGUCGAAGGACAAGGGCAAGAAUCGUGCAAGCUAACAGGCGUGCCACAGACAAAUAACAGUGCAGUACAGAACGGCAUCUCGGAAUGCACAACUCGUCGAUCCUUGUCACGGAUGGGCUAUUGCAGAAGACGACCACACCGGGUUCCACUCCUAUCAGCUAAGAAUAAAAAGAAGAAGCGGCUCCAGUGGGCACCGGAUCACCAACAAAAAAACAUUGCCUGGUACAUUACAGCGAGUUCAGUUCAUUUCAGUGGCCUGCGAAGUCCCCAGACCUCAACCCAAUUGUGCAUCUUUGGAAUGAGAUGAAACGGGAUGUUCGCAGCAUGAAUGUACUACCGACCGAUCUGCAGCAACUGCGCAAUGCCAACGCGUCAGCAUGGACCAACAUUCGUGUGGAACAUUUACGACACCUUGUAGAAUGCUCCGACCCAGUACUAGAUGGGUGUACCUAAUAAACGAAACUGGCUGCUAAAAUCUACAAAAAAUAAGCAAUUUUCUUUACUUUCAGAGUGCGAGCUAAUCAAGGGGUUGAAAAUGUAGAUUUUGUCAGAUGUAUGUUCACUGUCCGGGGAGCAGAAAAUGGAAGCUUUAUUGCUGGCAAGUGUCCAUAACCAGAGGUAAACUGUUCUGUGUUAUUUCUCUCUUUUCUUCUCUGCCUGUCUUGUUGUACGUGGAACCUGUCUCACAUGCAUUAAUUUAAAAAUCCUUAAGAUAUCAGCUGCUAAUUUUAAGAUUUACACCACAAACUCAGCCAUUUUUCACUGGACUAUCAAGCCCGUUGCUGCCAAAUGUAUCGUCACUAAUACAGAUUUCUUUCUUUUGAGCAUUCCAGAAUCAGCAGGUGGAGGACCUGCGUUAUCAAGAGGAUAAUCUGGAAACACUGACAAUGGGGUUAUUGUUCCUGACAUCCCAUGCCCCCUGUCUACUGAGAAUCUUGCUGUGCUGCAAUGUCAAAUGAACCCUACUACUGACUCCUCAUCUUUUGGUCAGGACAUGCACAUACAUGCUCUUCAAUUAGUUAUGAGUCUCCAGCCUUUUUAGGUGCAGUCCUCCCACACUAUGUAGGAUAUUGUUUUAGCUCCAGUGCCACUCUUGAUAAUGGCAAACAUUUGUAUUUUUUGGAGGAGAAUGAAAGGAUAGCAGGCCCAGGUGUCAAAGUGAGAGAGUAGGCUAUUCUGGAUAGAGCAGGUACUUGUGUAGUCUAUAUUUGUGUAGUCUAUUUGUGAGGUUCUGUCCUCAGAUACAGAGAGCUGUGAAAGCCUGUCUGCAGAUUAAGAGGGCCCAAUGAAGAGCAACAGUUCUCAGUCCUGUUCCUGGGGACUCAAAGGGGUCUAUCUAAUGUUAUCAUGAUUUGUUAUAAGGGAUAUUACAAUUAUACUAUACAGGAAGUAUUAUUAAAGAUAUGCUUUACAUUGAAAUACAGAUAGAGAUGUAGUAGUCCCAGAGUUAAUGAUCCAAGGUCAGUUUCGCAUUUCACUUCCUGAUGAUUAUGAUGACUGACUGUUAGAAUUUUAAAAAAAAGUGAUCAUGCUCUCUCUCUAUCCAUCUGUCUCUCGUCUGCAGGUAUGUUUUGAUGUGAGAGAGGAAACCAGUCCCGUCAUUGCCACCUCACCCGCUCUUAAGAUAACCUUCGGGCUGACUGGGAGCCCAAGGCUGGUUAGGAGACACCACUAGAGACACUAUGUAAUUGUUAUGAACUGAGAGAAUAUUAGGGUAACACUGUAAUUCAUUAAAACUUCUCUAGAGUACGUUAGACGGUAGCAUCCCACCUCUUCAACAGCCAGUGAAACUGCAGGGCGCCAAAUUCAAAUACAGAAAUACUCAUUAUAAAAAUUCCGAAAACAAAACAUAUUUUACAUAGGUUUAAAGACUAACUUCUUGUGAAUCCAACCACGGUGUCAGAUUUAAAAAAUGCUUUAUGGCGAAAGCAUACCUUACGAUUAUUUGAGAACCUGGCCCAGCAGACAAAUCAUUACAAACUAACCAGCCAAGUAGAAGAGUUACACAAGUCCGAAAUAGAGAUAAAAUGAAUCCCUUACCUUUGAUGAUCUUCAUAUGGUUGCACUCAGCAGACAUUCAUUUACUCAAUAAAUGUUCCUUUUGUUCGAUAAAGUCUCUUUAUAUCCAAAAUGCUCCGUUUUGUUUGCGCGUUUUCUUCAGUAAUCCACAGGCUCAAACGCAGUCAAAACAGGCAGACAAACAAUCCAAAUUGUAUCCGUAAAGUUCAUAGAAACAUGUCAAACGACGUUUAUAUUCAAUCCUCAGGUUGUUUUUAGCCUAAAUAAUCGAUAAUAUUUCAACCGGACAAUAACGUCGUCAAUAUAAAAAGUAAACAAGAAAGGUACUCUCUCGGUCGCGCGCAUGAAAAAGCUCUGUGACACUUUAGGGUCCACUCAUUCCGACUGCUCUUACUUCCUCAUUUUUCAAAAUACAAGCCUGAAACAAUUUCUAAAGACUGUUGACAUCUAGUGGUAGGCAUAGGAACUGCAAUUUGAGUCCUAAGUCAAUGGAUACUGUAAUGGCAUUGAAUAGAAAACUACAAAAACAAAAAACUACUUCCUGAAUGUAUUUUUCUCAGGUUUUUGCCUGCCAAAUCAGUUCUGUUAUACUCACAGACACUCUUUUAACAGUUUUGGAAACUUUAGAGUGUUUUCUAUCCAGAUCUACCAGUUAUAUGCAAAUCAUAUCUCCAGGGCCCGAGUAGCAAGCAGUUUAAUUUGAGCAUGCUUUUCAUCCAAAAUUCCGAAUGCUGCCCCCUACCCUAGAGAAGUUAAUCAUAUGCUGUCUUCCCUGCUCCUCUGUUUUACCUCUCCUUUUCUGUCUUCUACACCUCACUACCCACCUCUUCUUUCUUUAUAAUGCACACCAUAUGUGCAUUGAAGUACAGAUUGAACUUGUAUUUAUAAUAUAAUAUUACAAUUAUUUAUAAUGCAUGUAUUAUGUAUUUAUAACACCUGGAUAAUGAACUUUCAAUAAAGUGUCUCACAUUCUCCA